AUUGAACGCUGGCGGCAUGCUUUACACAUGCAAGUCGAACGGCAGCGCGGGCUUCGGCCUGGCGGCGAGUGGCGAACGGGUGAGUAAUACAUCGGAACGUGCCCAGUAGUGGGGGAUAGCUCGGCGAAAGCCGGAUUAAUACCGCAUACGACCUGAGGGUGAAAGCGGGGGAUCUUCGGACCUCGCGCUAUUGGAGCGGCCGAUGGCAGAUUAGCUAGUUGGUGGGGUAAAGGCCUACCAAGGCGACGAUCUGUAGCUGGUCUGAGAGGACGACCAGCCACACUGGGACUGAGACACGGCCCAGACUCCUACGGGAGGCAGCAGUGGGGAAUUUAGGACAAUGGGCGAAAGCCUGAUCCAGCAAUGCCGCGUGUGUGAUGAAGGCCUUCGGGUUGUAAAGCACUUUUGGCGGGAACGAAAAGGACUGUGCCAAUACCACGGUUCGAUGACGGUACCCGCAGAAUAAGCACCGGCUAACUACGUG
Molecule: ribosomal RNA, 484 nt
Filed under: uncultured bacterium
Lineage: Bacteria
Description: partial 16S ribosomal RNA
Rfam family: Bacterial small subunit ribosomal RNA
Source: RNAcentral